AUGCAUCAUUCACUUGCUAUGCACAGUUACACACAAAGCCUAUAUAUGCAUGCGAUGGUUUCAUAACCUAAAAAAACUUUUAAUCAAAAACCAUUAAGAUGCUGAUUGCAAUUAUUCAAAUUUCCCCUUACUGGAGAUAGAUCAAAUAACUAGCAUCGUACUUAUCCUUUAUAUAUUAACAUAUGUGCAUUUCUCAGCUCAAAGAUAUAAGCAAUAGAUUAUUAAACUCAUUCUAAUAGCACACGAUGAACAAACACAGUAGAAAUGAACCAGCAGCGUUUGUGUUUAAUGUUUAUUGUUAAGCAUGUCCCGGUUGGUAGGGUAGCUGAGUUCAAAUCCUCCCUUUCUUAUCUAUCAAA
This 359-nucleotide unclassified non-coding RNA is filed under the name Hevea brasiliensis (rubber tree). The record is from RNAcentral. Lineage: Eukaryota; Viridiplantae; Streptophyta; Magnoliopsida; Malpighiales; Euphorbiaceae.